RNAcentral lists this ribosomal RNA (302 nucleotides) under uncultured bacterium. RNAcentral's name for it is "partial 16S ribosomal RNA". It matches the Rfam family "Bacterial small subunit ribosomal RNA", at positions 508 to 807 of the family's 1533-position model. The record is from RNAcentral.
GCAGUAGCCGCGGGAAUACGUAGGGUGCAAGCGUUAAUCGGAAUUACUGGGCGUAAAGCGUGCGCAGGCGGUUAUAUAAGACAGAUGUGAAAUCCCCGGGCUCAACCUGGGAACUGCAUUUGUGACUGUAUAGCUAGAGUACGGCAGAGGGGGAUGGAAUUCCGCGUGUAGCAGUGAAAUGCGUAGAUAUGCGGAGGAACACCGAUGGCGAAGGCAAUCCCCUGGGCCUGUACUGACGCUCAUGCACGAAAGCGUGGGGAGCAAACAGGAUUAGAUACCCCAGUAGUCCCUGUCUCUUAUAC